AACGCGAAGAACCUUACCUACCCUUGACAUGUACCGAAGCCCGCCGAGAAGUGGGUGUGCCCGAAAGGGAACGGUAACACAGGUGCUGCAUGGCUGUCGUCAGCUCGUGUCGUGAGAUGUUGGGUUAAGUCCCGCAACGAGCGCAACCCUUGUCAUUAAUUGCCAUCAUUUAGUUGGGCACUUUAAUGAAACUGCCGGUGACAAACCGGAGGAAGGUGGGGAUGACGUCAAGUCCUCAUGGCCCUUAUGGGUAGGGCUUCACACGUAAUACAAUGGCGCGUACAGAGGGUUGCCAACCCGCGAGGGGGAGCUAAUCUCAGAAAGCGCGUCGUAGUCCGGAUCGGAGUCUGCAACUCGACUCCGUGAAGUCGGAAUCGCUAGUAAUCGCGGAUCAGCAUGUCGCGGUGAAUACGUUCCCGGGCCUUGUA
Molecule: ribosomal RNA, 428 nt
Filed under: uncultured beta proteobacterium
Lineage: Bacteria; Pseudomonadati; Pseudomonadota; Betaproteobacteria
Description: bacterial SSU rRNA
Rfam family: Bacterial small subunit ribosomal RNA
Source: RNAcentral